RNAcentral lists this ribosomal RNA (497 nucleotides) under uncultured bacterium. RNAcentral's name for it is "partial 16S ribosomal RNA". It matches the Rfam family "Bacterial small subunit ribosomal RNA", at positions 28 to 507 of the family's 1533-position model. The record is from RNAcentral.
GAUGAACGCUGGCGGCGUGCCUAAUACAUGCAAGUCGAGCGAACAGACGAGGAGCUUGCUCCUCUGACGUUAGCGGCGGACGGGUGAGUAACACGUGGAUAACCUACCUAUAAGACUGGGAUAACUUCGGGAAACCGGAGCUAAUACCGGAUAAUAUAUUGAACCGCAUGGUUCAAUAGUGAAAGACGGUUUUGCUGUCACUUAUAGAUGGAUCCGCGCCGCAUUAGCUAGUUGGUAAGGUAACGGCUUACCAAGGCAACGAUGCGUAGCCGACCUGAGAGGGUGAUCGGCCACACUGGAACUGAGACACGGUCCAGACUCCUACGGGAGGCAGCAGUAGAGAAUCUUCCGCAAAGGGCGAAAGCCUGACGGAGCACCGCCGCGUGAGUGAUGAAGGUCUUCGGAUCGUAAAACUCUGUUAUUAGGGAAGAACAAAUGUGUAAGUAACUAUGCACGUCUUGACGGUACCUAAUCAGAAAGCCACGGCUAACUCCGUG